UACGAAGGGUGCAAGCGUUAAUCGGAAUUACUGGGCGUAAAGCGUGCGUAGGUGGUUGUUUAAGUCUGUCGUGAAAGCCCUGGGCUCAACCUGGGAAUGGCGAUGGAUACUGGGCGACUGGAGUGCGGUAGAGGAUGGCGGAAUUCCCGGUGUAGCGGUGAAAUGCGUAGAGAUCGGGAGGAACAUCCGUGGCGAAGGCGGCCAUCUGGACCAGCACUGACACUGAGGCACGAAAGCGUGGGGAGCAAACAGGAUUAGAAACCCGUGUAGUCC
RNAcentral lists this ribosomal RNA (273 nucleotides) under uncultured prokaryote. RNAcentral's name for it is "partial 16S ribosomal RNA". It matches the Rfam family "Bacterial small subunit ribosomal RNA", at positions 524 to 796 of the family's 1533-position model. The record is from RNAcentral.